This 76-nucleotide small RNA is filed under the name Leptospira meyeri. RNAcentral describes it as "Flavo-1 RNA". It matches the Rfam family "Flavo-1 RNA". The record is from RNAcentral. Lineage: Bacteria; Pseudomonadati; Spirochaetota; Leptospiria; Leptospirales; Leptospiraceae.
UAAUAUCCCAGCGCCAGCGGUAGUAGCGGAAAUCCUUUCGCGAUGCGAAAGAUUGGAGCGGAUAACGCGGUCGUUA